GCCUGGCUGGUUCAGUUGGUGGAACAUACAGCUCUUGAUCUUGGGGUUGUGGGUUCAAGCCCCAUGUUGGGUG
This 73-nucleotide transfer RNA is filed under the name Ailuropoda melanoleuca (giant panda). It matches the Rfam family "tRNA". Rfam says of the family: Transfer RNA (tRNA) molecules are approximately 80 nucleotides in length. Their secondary structure includes four short double-helical elements and three loops (D, anti-codon, and T loops). The record is from Rfam by way of RNAcentral. Lineage: Eukaryota; Metazoa; Chordata; Mammalia; Carnivora; Ursidae.